CGACUGCCGAGGAUGGUGUUAAAUAUACUUUGAGUAUUCACUAUGAAAAGUAACAAAAUCUGAGGCAUUUG
Molecule: small nucleolar RNA, 71 nt
Filed under: Ananas comosus (pineapple)
Lineage: Eukaryota; Viridiplantae; Streptophyta; Magnoliopsida; Poales; Bromeliaceae
Source: RNAcentral